CACUUGAGUCAUUUAAAGGAAAAAUAGUUUGUACCGAUCCUUUGCCAUAAGAUUGCUCACCUAAAAUUAUUGCUCUUUUAUGAUCUUGUAACGCACCGGCAACUAUUUCUGAUGCAGAAGCAGAGCCUUGAUUGAUUAAAACAAUAAUUGGUUUUCCCUUUGUAAUAUCACUGCCUGACGCUGUAAAUCGAGAUAUAUCACUUUUAUCUCUCCCUUUGAUUGAGACAAUUUCUCCUGAAUCAAGAAAAUUAUUUGUAACUCUAGCGGACUGAUCAAGAAGACCACCAGGAUUACUUC
Molecule: non-coding RNA, 297 nt
Filed under: marine eukaryotic metagenome
Source: RNAcentral